AGACCCGAAACCCGGUGAUCUAGCCAUGGGCAGGUUGAAGGUUGGGUAACACUAACUGGAGGACCGAACCGACUAAUGUUGAAAAAUUAGCGGAUGACCUGUGGCUGGGGGUGAAAGGCCAAUCAAACCGGGAGAUAGCUGGUUCUCCCCGAAAGCUAUUUAGGUAGCGCCUCGUGAAUUCAUCUCCGGGGGUAGAGCACUGUUUCGGCUAGGGGGCCAUCCCGGCUUACCAACCCGAUGCAAACUGCGAAUACCGGAGAAUGUUAUCACGGGAGACACACGGCGGGUGCUAACGUCCGUCGUGAAGAGGGAAACAACCCAGACCGCCAGCUAAGGUCCCAAAGUCAUGGUUAAGUGGGAAACGAUGUGGGAAGGCCCAGACAGCCAGGAUGUUGGCUUAGAAGCAGCCAUCAUUUAAAGAAAGCGUAAUAGCUCACUGGUCGAGUCGGCCUGCGCGGAAGAUGUAACGGGGCUAAACCAUGCACCGAAGCUGCGGCAGCGACGCUCAGGCGUUGUUGGGUAGGGGAGCGUUCUGUAAGCCUGUGAAGGUGGCCUGUGAGGGUUGCUGGAGGUAUCAGAAGUGCGAAUGCUGACAUAAGUAACGAUAAAGCGGGUGAAAAGCCCGCUCGCCGGAAGACCAAGGGUUCCUGUCCAACGUUAAUCGGGGCAGGGUGAGUCGACCCCUAAGGCGAGGCCGAAAGGCGUAGUCGAUGGGAAACGGGUUAAUAUUCCCGUACUUGGUGUUACUGCGAAGGGGGGACGGAGAAGGCUAUGUUGGCCGGGCGACGGUUGUCCCGGUUUAAGCGUGUAGGUGUGUGUUCCAGGUAAAUCCGGUUCACUUUAACACUGAGGCGUGACGACGAGGCACUACGGUGCUGAAGCAACAAAUGCCCUGCUUCCAGGAAAAGCCUCUAAGCAUCAGGUAACAUCAAAUCGUACCCCAAACCGACACAGGUGGUCAGGUAGAGAAUACCAAGGCGCUUGAGAGAACUCGGGUGAAGGAACUAGGCAAAAUGGUGCCGUAACUUCGGGAGAAGGCACGCUGACACGUAGGUGAAGUGAUUUACUCAUGGAGCUGAAGUCAGUCGAAGAUACCAGCUGGCUGCAACUGUUUAUUAAAAACACAGCACUGUGCAAACACGAAAGUGGACGUAUACGGUGUGACGCCUGCCCGGUGCCGGAAGGUUAAUUGAUGGGGUCAGCGCAAGCGAAGCUCCUGAUCGAAGCCCCGGUAAACGGCGGCCGUAACUAUAACGGUCCUAAGGUAGCGAAAUUCCUUGUCGGGUAAGUUCCGACCUGCACGAAUGGCGUAAUGAUGGCCAGGCUGUCUCCACCCGAGACUCAGUGAAAUUGAACUCGCUGUGAAGAUGCAGUGUACCCGCGGCAAGACGGAAAGACCCCGUGAACCUUUACUAUAGCUUGACACUGAACAUUGAGCCUUGAUGUGUAGGAUAGGUG
Molecule: ribosomal RNA, 1458 nt
Filed under: Salmonella enterica subsp. enterica serovar Oslo
Lineage: Bacteria; Pseudomonadati; Pseudomonadota; Gammaproteobacteria; Enterobacterales; Enterobacteriaceae
Description: partial 23S ribosomal RNA
Rfam family: Bacterial large subunit ribosomal RNA
Source: RNAcentral